UACGGGGGGUGCAAGCGUUGUCCGGAAUCAUUGGGCGUAAAGCGUUCGUAGGCGGUAUGUCAAGUCUGAUGUUAAAGCCCGGGGCUCAACUCCGGUUCGGCAUUGGAUACUGGCAAACUAGAAUGUGGUAGAGGUAAAGGGAAUUCCUGGUGUAGCGGUGAAAUGCGUAGAUAUCAGGAGGAACAUCGGUGGCGAAAGCGGCUUACUGGACUGUAACUGACGUUGAGGCUCGAAAGCGUGGGGAGCAAACAGG
This 253-nucleotide ribosomal RNA is filed under the name uncultured cyanobacterium. RNAcentral's name for it is "partial 16S ribosomal RNA". It matches the Rfam family "Bacterial small subunit ribosomal RNA", at positions 524 to 776 of the family's 1533-position model. The record is from RNAcentral. Lineage: Bacteria; Bacillati; Cyanobacteriota.